Papaver somniferum (opium poppy) is the source of this 1217-nucleotide long non-coding RNA. RefSeq lists it as uncharacterized. The transcript is spliced from 3 exons. NCBI's taxonomy places the organism in Eukaryota, Viridiplantae, Streptophyta, Magnoliopsida, Ranunculales, Papaveraceae. The record is from RefSeq and is a predicted model, not a curated record.
CUGCCCUUGGUAGCUUAAUCUUGCUUUGCAUCUUCACAUGAACUGGAACGAUAGCACCACAUCGACCAAAUUGUACAUGUCAGUUGUCCUUCCUUGGGAUUGGGUUGGUUGAUCAUUCUGUUUGCUUUCGAACUUGAGAAAUCUCCAAUGGGUGGCACACGUUAUAAAAGGCCAUUAGCCUCCGAUUCUCAUUCAAUCACGUCCAUAUGAACUUGUGAAAAGUAUAGCCGUCAACACUAGAAAUUCGACAACUUGUGAAACUCUCAAAGUCCUAGUCCGUAUCAAAUAUGUAUUUCCUUUCUUUUAUGGCGGUUAAUCUCAUUCUAAAUGAGCGUGUUCGCACCUCGUUUCACUGCCCACAACAAAAGUUUGCUACCACCUCAGGUACAUUCCUUUCUGUUGUCAGAAAUGAUCAUCACUGGUACAUCGAAUCUGCAAGUUUUUGCAGAUAUCUGUAGCCCCUAUUCUUUCCAAAGCUACUGCGUCUACCCAUUUAGUGAAGUAGUAAGUUGCAGCUAACAAAUACUUGACGCCCCCAGUGCAGCUGAAAACGAACCUACACCUUGUUGAACAUCCACGGGCUGACAACCAGAUGCAACUCAUUCGCUGGUCUCUUUAUAAGCAUUUUCUUAUAUAGUCCAUGUGUCACUCUGCAUAUAAGGCCAGAAGUAGUAUUGAGAGCCUAUGCGCUAGACUCCUGCCUUCAGAAUGAUCCUCACAGCACCCUUCAUGUGCCUCAGCGAAGAAUUGCUUCCCUUCCUCUCUAGUAACACAAGGAAGAUGAAUUUGUGGACGUGUUUAGCGCCUCCAUCCUCACCAAAGCUACUACCUGAAGCCAUUUGGUGAUGCAGUCAAUUGCAUCUAGCAAGUAGUACAUGCCCCCAAGUGCAAUGCAUUCUUUAGUCCAGAGACUCUUGCUUCAUACUCCGAUUGAUUGUUUAAAGCUGUAAAUCUUAGUUGGACGGCUUUUUCUCCUGGGAAACUAGUACACAACCGACGCCUGUACCGUCCGUGUUUGCUGAUCCGAAAGUGUAAAUUUUCUAUGUUCUACUAUCUCCUCAAGUAUAUCUACCGAGUCUUGGAUACUCUCUCCUACAUAUCACUUUUAAUGCUUUUAUACUUGCUUUUACAUGUUUCCUUGGAAAUGUCUCUGAGACUCCAAGUGAACACAUCUCUAUUUUCUUUCAAAAGAGUAAACAAGCUUUCUUUCUCAUCUA